This 64-nucleotide transfer RNA is filed under the name Diaclina fagi. RNAcentral's name for it is "tRNA-Tyr". Lineage: Eukaryota; Metazoa; Arthropoda; Insecta; Coleoptera; Tenebrionidae. The record is from RNAcentral.
GACGAUGUGGCUGAGAUAGGCAAUAAAUUGUAAAUUUAUUUACGGACUUUAGGUUCCAUCGUCA